This 253-nucleotide ribosomal RNA is filed under the name uncultured bacterium. Its description in RNAcentral is "partial 16S ribosomal RNA". It matches the Rfam family "Bacterial small subunit ribosomal RNA", at positions 524 to 776 of the family's 1533-position model. The record is from RNAcentral.
UACGAAGGGUGCAAGCGUUACUCGGAAUUACUGGGCGUAAAGCGUGCGUAGGUGGUGAGUUAAGUCUGAUGUGAAAUCCCCGGGCUCAACCUGGGAAUGGCAUUGGAUACUGGCUCGCUAGAGUGCGGUAGAGGGUGGUGGAAUUCCCGGUGUAGCAGUGAAAUGCGUAGAGAUCGGGAGGAACAUCUGUGGCGAAGGCGGCCACCUGGACCAGCACUGACACUGAGGCACGAAAGCGUGGGGGGCAAACAGG